AGCAGCAUGGCGCAGUCUGGAAGCGCGCGGGGCCCAUACUUAUGCAUGAAACCCCGAGGUCACUCGAUCGAAACGAGUUGCUGCUA
Mycena epipterygia is the source of this 86-nucleotide non-coding RNA. Lineage: Eukaryota; Fungi; Basidiomycota; Agaricomycetes; Agaricales; Mycenaceae. The record is from the annotation of a GenBank genome assembly.